This 253-nucleotide ribosomal RNA is filed under the name uncultured bacterium. Its description in RNAcentral is "partial 16S ribosomal RNA". It matches the Rfam family "Bacterial small subunit ribosomal RNA", at positions 524 to 776 of the family's 1533-position model. The record is from RNAcentral.
UACGAAGGGGGGCUAGCGUUGCUCGGAAUCACUGGGCGUAAAGCGCACGUAGGCGGCUUUUUAAGUCAGAGGUGAAAUCCUGGAGCUCAACUCCAGAACUGCCUUUGAUACUGGAGAGCUUGAGUCCGGGAGAGGUGAGUGGAACUGCGAGUGUAGAGGUGAAAUUCGUAGAUAUUCGCAAGAACACCAGUGGCGAAGGCGCUCACUGGCCCGGUACUGACGCUGAGGUGCGAAAGCGUGGGGAGCAAACAGG